GCAUAUCAAUAAGCGGAGGAAAAGAAACCAACAGGGAUUGCCUUAGUAACGGCGAAGUGAAGCGGCAACAGCUCAAAUUUGAAAUCUGGCUUCGGCCCGAGUUGUAAUUUGCAGAGGAAGCUUUAGGCGCGGCACCUUCUGAGUCCCCUGGAACGGGGCGCCAUAGAGGGUGAGAGCCCCGUAUAGUUGGAUGCCUAGCCUGUGUAAAGCUCCUUCGACGAGUCGAGUAGUUUGGGAAUGCUGCUCAAAAUGGGAGGUAAAUUUCUUCUAAAGCUAAAUACCGGCCAGAGACCGAUAGCGCACAAGUAGAGUGAUCGAAAGAUGAAAAGCACUUUGAAAAGAGGGUUAAAUAGCACGUGAAAUUGUUGAAAGGGAAGCGCUUGUGACCAGACUUGCGCCGGGCUGAUCAUCCGGUGUUCUCACCGGUGCACUCUGCCCGGCUCAGGCCAGCAUCGGUUCUCGCGGGGGGAUAAAGGCCCUGGGAACGUAGCUCCUCCGGGAGUGUUAUAGCCCGGGGCGCAAUGCCCUCGCGGGGACCGAGGUUCGCGCUCUGCAAGGAUG
RNAcentral lists this ribosomal RNA (561 nucleotides) under Hyalosphaerella fragilis. RNAcentral describes it as "partial 28S ribosomal RNA". It matches the Rfam family "Eukaryotic large subunit ribosomal RNA", at positions 38 to 625 of the family's 3401-position model. Lineage: Eukaryota; Fungi; Ascomycota; Sordariomycetes; Sordariales; Chaetomiaceae. The record is from RNAcentral.